RNAcentral lists this ribosomal RNA (489 nucleotides) under Alternaria sp. RNAcentral describes it as "eukaryotic LSU rRNA". The stretch from base 86 to 241 matches the Rfam family "5.8S ribosomal RNA". Lineage: Eukaryota; Fungi; Ascomycota; Dothideomycetes; Pleosporales; Pleosporaceae. The record is from RNAcentral.
UUCCGUAGGCGCAACCGGCGGAUUCCAUACCAAUAAGCGAGAAUAAGCCUCCGAAAGCGCAGAGGAAGACCCCCAAAUCAAUUAGAAGUUUCAACCUCCGAACUCUUGGAUCUGGCCUCGCUGAAGAACGCAGCGAAAUGCGAUACGAAGGUGAGAAAUGCAGAAUUCAGUGAAUCAUCGAAUCUUUGAACGCACAUUGCGCCCAUUUGGUAUUCCAAAGGGCAUGCCUGUUCGAGCGUCAUUUGUACCCUCAAGCUUUGCUUGGUGUUGGGCGUCUUUUGUCUCCAGUUCGCUGGAGACUCGCCUUAAAGUCAUUGGCAGCCGGCCUACUGGUUUCGGAGCGCAGCACAAGUCGCGCUCUUUGCCAGCCAAGGUCAGCGUCCAGCAAGCCUUUUUUUCAACCUUUUGACCUCGGAUCAGGUAGGGAUACCCGCUGAACUUAAGCUUAUCAUUAAGCGCGAGAAACAUCCCCCCGCUUAAUUAAUAUGC